This 499-nucleotide ribosomal RNA is filed under the name Vibrio sp. Its description in RNAcentral is "bacterial SSU rRNA". It matches the Rfam family "Bacterial small subunit ribosomal RNA", at positions 73 to 569 of the family's 1533-position model. Lineage: Bacteria; Pseudomonadati; Pseudomonadota; Gammaproteobacteria; Vibrionales; Vibrionaceae. The record is from RNAcentral.
GGGGGAUUUGUUGGGCGGCGAGCGGCGGACGGGUGAGUAAUGCCUAGGAAAUUGCCCUGAUGUGGGGGAUAACCAUUGGAAACGAUGGCUAAUACCGCAUGAUGCCUACGGGCCAAAGAGGGGGACCUUCGGGCCUCUCGCGUCAGGAUAUGCCUAGGUGGGAUUAGCUAGUUGGUGAGGUAAGGGCUCACCAAGGCGACGAUCCCUAGCUGGUCUGAGAGGAUGAUCAGCCACACUGGAACUGAGACACGGUCCAGACUCCUACGGGAGGCAGCAGUGGGGAAUAUUGCACAAUGGGCGCAAGCCUGAUGCAGCCAUGCCGCGUGUAUGAAGAAGGCCUUCGGGUUGUAAAGUACUUUCAGUAGGGAGGAAGGUUCAUGCGUUAAUAGCGUAUGGAUUUGACGUUACCUACAGAAGAAGCACCGGCUAACUCCGUGCCAGCAGCCGCGGUAAUACGGAGGGUGCGAGCGUUAAUCGGAAUUACUGGGCGUAAAGCGCA